UAUUUGAAAAAAAUGGGUCAAAUGAAUCCUGGAUUGUUAUCAACAACUGUUUGUUUAUUUGUUUGUUUGUGAUUGAAGCUGUUUGUGUUUCUACAGCUUUGUCUAGCGAUGAACCUGGAAAUGAAAAUGUACUUGAUGCUGGCUGUCUCUUGGAUGUUCUCAGGCUUUACCGGUGGCACAUUAGCUCAUUUGAAGAGCAGGAUGCUCAUGAACUGUUCCAUGUUUUGACAUCAUCGCUGGAGGAAGAACGGGAUUGUCAACCUAAAGUUGCUCACUUGUUUGACAUGCAGUGCCUAGAGAGUCUUCCUGAUCAAGGUGAAGAAACACUGACCUG
Cynoglossus semilaevis (tongue sole) is the source of this 334-nucleotide long non-coding RNA. RefSeq lists it as uncharacterized. The record is from RefSeq and is a predicted model, not a curated record. The transcript has 3 exons. Lineage: Eukaryota; Metazoa; Chordata; Actinopteri; Pleuronectiformes; Cynoglossidae.